UUCUUACCUCACGUCCAGUUUCUAGUGCGCACGCGUACCAGUCACCAUCUGACAGAACAGUAGCGAACACUGCAUCCAAUUGCGAAGGAUCCGCGCGAGGAUGGUGCCGUAAGGACAAGCGGAGAUCCAAUCGAAGAGGCCACAAAUGGUAACAGCGAACCAUGGCGACAAAAGAUUCCCUGGCUCGAUGAGUUUUCAAGGGGUGCAUGUUAAGGGUUAACACCGCGAUCUCGGUCGCCUUUCGAUCGUUAUCCCAUUUAGGGGAAUCGGAUCUCUGCACGCGCAGCUGCAACGAUUUAUCGUCUCGCCUUCCGUGUGCGUUUAUUCUUUGUGAAUACUUUAAGGAAGAAAUCAAAAGACUUUUUAUAUGAUUCAAGAAUUGUAGCAACAAAUUUGGUCUGACAUGGAAUCAAUAUUGUUAUCGAAACGAAAUAAAAACUAAAUUUUCUAAUCUCUAAAGGAAAACGAAGCGUAAAAAAUUAAACAAAAAAAAUUUUAUUAUAAAAUUACUUUCUUUUCGUUUAUACAAUCUAUCAAUAACACAAAAAGUAUACCAAUCAAAAAUGCUUUCAUAACUUUUCUUUCUUCGAUUAACAUACAUGAACAAAACGAUCGUGCCGACUUGUGUGCGCAUGUCACGUCAUCUUCGCCUUUCGUUUCGAAACCGGCUGUCCGCAGCUGGUGCCCGCGUUUCCUAGUCACAUCAUCCGCCUCAUUAUACUGCUGAAUGGCUCGUCAGGAGAAACAGGCGUGCGUCGGUCGGUCAUUUUUCAAGAUCGUGGCAAAGAACUGGCCGCAUACAUCAGCCGCCAUUGUCUCGCGGCGAGAGAACGUCAUCACUUUCGAUCUGUCCCGGUACUGUCGCCCCUAACGGCCACCAAUGGUAAUAUAUCGAUGGGAAAUUAGAAUGGUUGGCAGCGCUGUUACGCGACGACGAUCUUUCGUCCGUUGAACGCCAGUCUGUAGUCAAGUCGAGUCGUGACGUGGCGAUUUUAAGGCCGGAUUACGUAACGGUGAUUGCGUUUGCACGGGGGACGCUUUGUGGGUGUUAUGAAAUAGAUAUCAUGUUCCACGGGCAUUUGUAUGCGCCAGUAUGUCGAGCUACGACCGUUUUACCAGCCAUUUUAUCGUCCCCUUCUAACCAGCUAUUUUCUUCGUACUGUCCAAAGUAAUCGACACCAAAUGUGUAUAUAGUUUUCGUUUAAAGCACGGAACGCGGUCGAUGGUGUUUAUGAUUUUCAAGUAUAAUUGGAAUGUAUGUCUAUGUUUGUGGUUAAAAAAGCUAAUAAAUUCACGUAUCCUCUGUUUUGAUACUCUGGUUGUAUUGGUGAUGGGAAUUGAAUCAAGAAAACGAAAGUGGAACAUAUUAUGGAAUAUCGUUGAACAUUUUUUUUUUCUACGUUUGAAUUCUGAUUUCUUAUGAAACUGAAAAUGUUGAAAAGUAAUAAUCAAAUAAAAAGUAAAAGGUAAAAAUAAAAAAUAUUGUAUUUGAAUGGUAUACGAUUCAAAUAGAAAGUCAUACGAAAAUUGCGCAGUACAAAUGACAUAACGUACAAUAUAAUCUAACUCGAUUCGACGCAUCAGAAAACAGAAACUUCAAUGUUUUUUUCAUCAAGAAUAAAAAGGAUAACAAUGUAGACAUGCGUUUUUCAUGAUGUAAUCUUAUUCGAGGAGUUCCAUCCGGAAUAAAGCAUUCAGUGGAUGACUUGCAAGAUCUCGAUCGAAACGAGUGUUAAGAGUGGUCGAUCGUGAAAAAUCUUGGCUGUUAAUCGUCGUGGUUCGCGCGAGCGCAAGCGUGGACGGUCAUCGUUACCUUUCUCACGCUCGAAGCAAGCGGACAGCAAACCGAGAAAGUGGCGAGCAACCGUAAUUUCUUAUGCACGCAGCCACCGCUUACAUCCUGCGCGCUGUCGCGCUGUUAUCUUCUUAUUUCAGCACGGCAAGGUUCGUAAAGUGUCCGCUCUGAUGUACACCACCAUUGGGUUGAGAGGAAUCCGUGUGGAAAAUGUAGCAAAAUGUCGGAAGUAAUGGUAUGAAACGGAAAUGUAGACCAAUCUGAACGUUUCAAUGUGUUUCAGUUUGACCAGUUGGUUUGUUUUCACUUUGAUUGGAUAAAAUACUGUUUGUGGAUA
This 2132-nucleotide long non-coding RNA is filed under the name Apis florea (little honeybee). Its description in RNAcentral is "uncharacterized LOC105735504". The record is from RNAcentral. Lineage: Eukaryota; Metazoa; Arthropoda; Insecta; Hymenoptera; Apidae.